AAUAUUGGACAAUGGGCGCAAGCCUGAUCCAGCCAUGCCGCGUGUGUGAAGAAGGUCUUCGGAUUGUAAAGCACUUUAAUUUGGGCGGAAGGGCGGUUAAAGAAUACUUAACUGUUUUGUCGUUACCAAAAGAAUAGGCACCGACUAACUUCGUGCCAGCAGCCGGGGUAAUACGAAGGGUGCAAGCGUUAAUCUGAAUUACUGGGCGUAAAGCCGGCGUAGGUGGUUCGUUAGGUUGGAAGUGAAAGCCCCGGGCUCAACCUGGGAAUUGCUUUCAAAACUGGCGAGCUAGAGUACGGUAGAGGGUGGUGGAAUUUCCUGUGUAGCGGUGAGAUGCGUAGAUAUAGGAGGGAACAUCAGUGGCGAAGGCGACCACCUGGACUGAUACUGAUACUGAGGUGCGAAAGCGUGGGGAGCAAACAGG
This 424-nucleotide ribosomal RNA is filed under the name uncultured bacterium. RNAcentral describes it as "partial 16S ribosomal RNA". It matches the Rfam family "Bacterial small subunit ribosomal RNA", at positions 360 to 776 of the family's 1533-position model. The record is from RNAcentral.